Molecule: ribosomal RNA, 750 nt
Filed under: uncultured eukaryote
Lineage: Eukaryota
Description: bacterial SSU rRNA
Source: RNAcentral
UAAUUAUUGUCUGAGUGGAAAUUCAUUGGUGCAAAGGCGUGUAACUAGCACGAUAUCAUUAUCCAGGGAAGUGUUCAUUAUUCAUUGAACACGAUCUGAGGGAUUGGCAGUGUUAACAAGAGGUUGUAGUGUUAACCAUUAGGUAGGCCGAAUAGGGAUGACCACGAUGUUAACAUUUUGAGUAAUUAAAGACCUUAGGAGAAGUCAAAAGUUUUGUGUUCUGGGGGGAAUAUGGAGGAAAGGCGGAAAGUGAAACAACAGGAGGGAAGCGCACCACCAGGAUUGAGGCGUCCGGGUUAAACUCACUCCACCCAGAGAAACCCACCAAGCCCAGAUUCAAAAAUGAUUGUCAGUUUCUGAGCUGGUUGGGGAUGGGGAAUUUGGGGGCGCGGGGCCGUUCUUAGAUGUGGGAGCGAUUUGUCAGGUUACCUGUGAUAACGAAAGAGCCCGGAUCCCCGUAACCAGUCGGGGUCAUUUUAGGGGGUCAUUCGGCUCUUGAAGGGAGAAUGGGCAGACACUGAAAGGAAUCUGAGGCAGUAACAGGUCAGUGAAUUCGAGAAGGUUCUGGGAUGCAGGCGAGCGCCGAAACCCAUCGGUUUUUUAUUUUUUCUAAUGCACCCCUUCUGGAAGGCGGGGCUUAGAGUCAGUUAUAAGGUGGAGAAUGCACACAGUAAUCCAUGUAAAAAGGGGACAUCAAAGUAAGUGUAAGUCAUCCGCUCCCCCUGACACACACACACACACAGUACACGC